RNAcentral lists this unclassified non-coding RNA (390 nucleotides) under soil metagenome. RNAcentral describes it as "partial contains 5.8S ribosomal RNA, internal transcribed spacer 2, and large subunit ribosomal RNA". The stretch from base 1 to 122 matches the Rfam family "5.8S ribosomal RNA", at positions 35 to 154 of the family's 154-position model. The record is from RNAcentral.
GAUGAAGAACGCAGCGAAAUGCGAUACUUGGUGUGAAUUGCAGAAUCCCGUGAACCAUCGAGUCUUUGAACGCAAGUUGCGCCCGAAGCCAUUAGGCCGAGGGCACGCCUGCCUGGGCGUCACACGUCGUUGCCCCCCCAUCUACUCCUUCGGGAUUGCGGGGGCGGAUGAUGGCCUCCCGUGCGCCUCGUCGCGCGGUUGGCAUAAAUGCCAAGUCCUCGGCGACGCACGCCACGACAAUCGGUGGUUGCGAAACCUCGGUUGCCCGUCGUGUGCGGUCGUCGCGCAUCGAGGGCUCGAAAAAAUUGCCGGGCUCCGGCUCGGCUUUCAACGCGACCCCAGGUCAGGCGGGGUUACCCGCUGAAUUUAAGCAUAUCAAUAAGCGGAGGA